UCAGACGAUGCGUCAUGCAUAUCAAUAAGCGGAGGAAAAGAAACUAACAAGGAUUCCCUUAGUAACGGCGAGUGAAGCGGGAAGAGCUCAAAUUUGAAAUCUUCAAGGUUUUACCUUGACGAAUUGUAGUUUAAAGAAGUGCUUUCUGUUGAAGUUUUGGUAAAAGUUCUUUGGAAUAGGACAUCAUAGAGGGUGAGAAUCCCGUAUUUGACCAUUAUUUUCAGCUGUGUGAUACACUUUCAAAGAGUCGGAUUGUUUGGGAAUGCAGUCCAAAAUGGGUGGUAAAUUUCAUCUAAAGCUAAAUAUUGGCGAGAGACCGAUAGCGAACAAGUACCGUGAGGGAAAGAUGAAAAGAACUUUGAAAAGAGAGUUAAACAGUACGUGAAAUUGUCAAAAGGGAAGCGUUUGACACCAGUGUUGUUUUCUCGAAAAUCAAUUAAAAAGAGUUGGAUUUUGUGUUGUAUUGACCUUAACAGCUUGCUUCACUCUUUUCCUGCUUUUUUUAAUGCACUUUUCGUUUAACAAGUCAACAUCAGUUUCUUUUGUUGUAAAAGGGUCAUUGGAAGGUGGCUUUCUCUUCGGAGAAAGUGUUUAUAGCCUUUGAUCUCUGCAAUCGGAGAGACUGAGGUCUGCAGCGUAGAUCCUUCGGGGUUAGAUACAUUUGUGCUAAGCUACAGCUUUUCAUAGACAACUUGUUGACUAUGUUUAGUCUUGUAACUUACCCGCUUAUGCUAUUUUACCUACGCUUAGGAUGUUGAUAUGCAUGACUGAUAU
Molecule: ribosomal RNA, 774 nt
Filed under: uncultured Neocallimastigales
Lineage: Eukaryota; Fungi; Neocallimastigomycota; Neocallimastigomycetes; Neocallimastigales
Description: partial large subunit ribosomal RNA
Rfam family: Eukaryotic large subunit ribosomal RNA
Source: RNAcentral